RNAcentral lists this small nucleolar RNA (146 nucleotides) under Manihot esculenta (cassava). RNAcentral describes it as "small nucleolar RNA snoR134". It matches the Rfam family "small nucleolar RNA snoR134". Lineage: Eukaryota; Viridiplantae; Streptophyta; Magnoliopsida; Malpighiales; Euphorbiaceae. The record is from Rfam by way of RNAcentral.
CUGCACGAUGCCUCCCGGGCUUCCCUGAAUUUAAUCUAGUGAAGGUGAAUGCCCCAAUGCACGUGCUAAAGUUCUGCUGUUUAGUGUUGCAGUUCAGCCUUUUCUCCUUUCCACUGCUGAUCUGUGUCAAAUCAACGGCCACAUCU